Molecule: long non-coding RNA, 986 nt
Filed under: Homo sapiens (human)
Lineage: Eukaryota; Metazoa; Chordata; Mammalia; Primates; Hominidae
Description: HSALNT0314109
Source: RNAcentral
AGACAUCCAGGACAAACCAUGGGGAACACAGCUGCCACUGAGAGAAGCUGCCCGGAGGAGGAAGGGGCUGCAAAGUUCAACCACCAGGCAAGAUGAAGAAAUUGAGAAACAGAAAGUAUGAUGAUUUGCUUAAGACCAGAUGACAAUUAUCUGCAGAAUGAAGACAAUCCUGACCUCCAUCAGUGGAUCCCUUCGCCACCUCCACAGUCUCCCCAUUGCAUGGACACAGACACAUGACAGAUGCACACAUAUGUGCAAAACACUUAUACAGAACACACUCCUCCACCUCCACCUCACUACCACGCAAUCCCAAGACAGCAUUGCCCUUCUCUGGACCCAGCCACUCGGUCAACACAUAUUUACGAACAUUAUGCUAGGCACUGGCAAUAAAAUAAUGAACACCAGAAGACACAGUUCCUGAGUCUCACAGAGAUGACCCAGGAUCAUUCAGAGUCUAGGAUGAGGCAGGGAUUAGGUGGGGAUGAGGAUGAUAAGAGCAGCGUUGGGGAAGUACAGGAUAAGAUGAGAACACACACCAAGGGCACCUAACUUUUUCUCUGGAGGACCAGGAAAGGCACCCUGGAGGAUGAGACAUCCGAGCUGAGGUGCAAAAGAUGGGUUGGAGUUGGCAAGGCCCAAAGUGAGGCUAAAAAGAGAGUUGAGGGGAGUGUUCCACACAGAGGAAGGAACGUGUACGAAAACUUGGAGGCAAGAGCGGCAUGGCACUUUUGAGGAACUGCGAGAAGUAGAGUGUGGCCAGGGAUAAUGCUCUGGUCGGGAGAUGUGUCCAUUGAGGCUGCAGAGGAAGCAGGUAUCUGCAUGUGAAGGCGGCAAACCUUGUUGGUGUUGAUGGAGUUGGUGUUUGUCUUGCAGGCACUGGAAAGCCAUUGACGGAUUUAGUGAGUGCCACUGGUGACAAGCUCUUAUUAAGACAUUCUCCUUUUGCCCACUAUAAGAAUCUAUGGAUAUAAAUGUUUUCUGAUCCU